GCCCAUCAAAAUGGGAUAACACUUGGAAACAGGUGCUAAUACCGUAUAACAAUCGAAACCGCAUGGUUUUGAUUUGAAAGGCGCUUUCGGGUGUCGCUGAUGGAUGGACCCGCGGUGCAUUAGCUAGUUGGUGAGGUAACGGCUCACCAAGGCCACGAUGCAUAGCCGACCUGAGAGGGUGAUCGGCCACAUUGGGACUGAGACACGGCCCAAACUCCUACGGGAGGCAGCAGUAGGGAAUCUUCGGCAAUGGACGAAAGUCUGACCGAGCAACGCCGCGUGAGUGAAGAAGGUUUUCGGAUCGUAAAACUCUGUUGUUAGAGAAGAACAAGGAUGAGAGUAACUGUUCAUCCCUUGACGGUAUCUAACCAGAAAGCCACGGCUAACUACGUGCCAGCAGCCGCGGUAAUACGUAGGUGGCAAGCGUUGUCCGGAUUUAUUGGGCGUAAAGCGAGCGCAGGCGGUUUCUUAAGUCUGAUGUGAAAGCCCCCGGCUCAACCGGGGAGGGUCAUUGGAAACUGGGAGACUUGAGUGCAGAAGAGGAGAGUGGAAUUCCAUGUGUAGCGGUGAAAUGCGUAGAUAUAUGGAGGAACACCAGUGGCGAAGGCGGCUCUCUGGUCUGUAACUGACGCUGAGGCUCGAAAGCGUGGGGAGCAAACAGGAUUAGAUACCCUGGUAGUCCACGCCGUAAACGAUGAGUGCUAAGUGUUGGAGGGUUUCCGCCCUUCAGUGCUGCAGCUAACGCAUUAAGCACUCCGCCUGGGGAGUACGACCGCAAGGUUGAAACUCAAAGGAAUUGACGGGGGCCCGCACAAGCGGUGGAGCAUGUGGUUUAAUUCGAAGCAACGCGAAGAACCUUACCAGGUCUUGACAUCCUUUGACCACUCUAGAGAUAGAGCUUCCCCUUCGGGGGCAAAGUGACAGGUGGUGCAUGGUUGUCGUCAGCUCGUGUCGUGAGAUGUUGGGUUAAGUCCCGCAACGAGCGCAACCCUUAUUGUUAGUUGCCAUCAUUCAGUUGGGCACUCUAGCAAGACUGCCGGUGACAAACCGGAGGAAGGUGGGGAUGACGUCAAAUCAUCAUGCCCCUUAUGACCUGGGCUACACACGUGCUACAAUGGGAAGUACAACGAGUUGCGAAGUCGCGAGGCUAAGCUAAUCUCUUAAAGCUUCUCUCAGUUCGGAUUGCAGGCUGCAACUCGCCUGCAUGAAGCCGGAAUCGGUUGUAAUCGCGGAUAAGCA
Molecule: ribosomal RNA, 1239 nt
Filed under: Enterococcus faecium
Lineage: Bacteria; Bacillati; Bacillota; Bacilli; Lactobacillales; Enterococcaceae
Description: bacterial SSU rRNA
Rfam family: Bacterial small subunit ribosomal RNA
Source: RNAcentral